UCCGGCUUUUCCGUACAUGUCAAGCCCAGGUAAGGUUCUUCGCGUUGCCUCGAAUUAAGCAACAUGCUCCGCCGCUUGUGCGGGCCCCCGUCAAUUCCUUUGAGUUUUAGCCUUGCGGCCGUACUCCCCAGGCGGGGUACUUAAUGCGUUAGCUGCGGCACGGAACCCGUUGAUAAGGUCCCACACCUAGUACCCAACGUUUACGGCGUGGACUAC
This 216-nucleotide unclassified non-coding RNA is filed under the name uncultured Acidimicrobiia bacterium. RNAcentral's name for it is "contains 16S-23S intergenic spacer region". Lineage: Bacteria; Bacillati; Actinomycetota; Acidimicrobiia. The record is from RNAcentral.